Molecule: ribosomal RNA, 441 nt
Filed under: uncultured bacterium
Lineage: Bacteria
Description: partial 16S ribosomal RNA
Rfam family: Bacterial small subunit ribosomal RNA
Source: RNAcentral
CCUACGGGGGGCAGCAGUGGGGAAUAUUGCACAAUGGGCGGAACCCUGAUGCAGCGACGCCGCGUGAGUGAAGAAGUAUUUCGGUACGUAAAGCUCUGUCAGAAGGGAAGAAGAAAGACGGUACCUGACCAAGAAGCACCGGCUAACUACGUGCCAGCAGCCGCGGGAAUACGUAGGGGGGAAGCGUUAUCCGGAUUUACUGGGUGUAAAGGGAGCGUAGACGGGAGGGCAAGGCUGGAGUGAAAGGCAAGGGGCCAACCCCGGGAAUGCUCUGGAAACUGUCCGGCUAGAGUGCAGGAGAGGUAAGUGGAAUUCCUAGUGUAGCGGUGAAAUGCGUAGAUAUUAGGAGGAACACCAGUGGCGAAGGCGGCUGACUGGACUGUAACUGACGUUGAGGCUCGAAAGCGUGGGGAGCAAACAGGAUUAGAUACCCGGGUAGUC